This 1085-nucleotide ribosomal RNA is filed under the name Acinetobacter pittii. RNAcentral describes it as "bacterial SSU rRNA". It matches the Rfam family "Bacterial small subunit ribosomal RNA", at positions 451 to 1533 of the family's 1533-position model. The record is from RNAcentral. Lineage: Bacteria; Pseudomonadati; Pseudomonadota; Gammaproteobacteria; Moraxellales; Moraxellaceae.
AAUACCUAGAGAUAGUGGACGUUACUCGCAGAAUAAGCACCGGCUAACUCUGUGCCAGCAGCCGCGGUAAUACAGAGGGUGCAAGCGUUAAUCGGAUUUACUGGGCGUAAAGCGCGCGUAGGCGGCUAAUUAAGUCAAAUGUGAAAUCCCCGAGCUUAACUUGGGAAUUGCAUUCGAUACUGGUUAGCUAGAGUGUGGGAGAGGAUGGUAGAAUUCCAGGUGUAGCGGUGAAAUGCGUAGAGAUCUGGAGGAAUACCGAUGGCGAAGGCAGCCAUCUGGCCUAACACUGACGCUGAGGUGCGAAAGCAUGGGGAGCAAACAGGAUUAGAUACCCUGGUAGUCCAUGCCGUAAACGAUGUCUACUAGCCGUUGGGGCCUUUGAGGCUUUAGUGGCGCAGCUAACGCGAUAAGUAGACCGCCUGGGGAGUACGGUCGCAAGACUAAAACUCAAAUGAAUUGACGGGGGCCCGCACAAGCGGUGGAGCAUGUGGUUUAAUUCGAUGCAACGCGAAGAACCUUACCUGGCCUUGACAUAGUAAGAACUUUCCAGAGAUGGAUUGGUGCCUUCGGGAACUUACAUACAGGUGCUGCAUGGCUGUCGUCAGCUCGUGUCGUGAGAUGUUGGGUUAAGUCCCGCAACGAGCGCAACCCUUUUCCUUAUUUGCCAGCGAGUAAUGUCGGGAACUUUAAGGAUACUGCCAGUGACAAACUGGAGGAAGGCGGGGACGACGUCAAGUCAUCAUGGCCCUUACGGCCAGGGCUACACACGUGCUACAAUGGUCGGUACAAAGGGUUGCUACCUAGCGAUAGGAUGCUAAUCUCAAAAAGCCGAUCGUAGUCCGGAUUGGAGUCUGCAACUCGACUCCAUGAAGUCGGAAUCGCUAGUAAUCGCGGAUCAGAAUGCCGCGGUGAAUACGUUCCCGGGCCUUGUACACACCGCCCGUCACACCAUGGGAGUUUGUUGCACCAGAAGUAGCUAGCCUAACUGCAAAGAGGGCGGUUACCACGGUGUGGCCGAUGACUGGGGUGAAGUCGUAACAAGGUAGCCGUAGGGGAACCUGCGGCUGGAUCACCUCCUUAACGAA